RNAcentral lists this ribosomal RNA (468 nucleotides) under uncultured bacterium. Its description in RNAcentral is "partial 16S ribosomal RNA". It matches the Rfam family "Bacterial small subunit ribosomal RNA", at positions 28 to 507 of the family's 1533-position model. The record is from RNAcentral.
GACGAACGCUGGCGGCGUGCUUAACACAUGCAAGUCGAACGGAAAGGCCCUGCUUUUGUGGGGUGCUCGAGUGGCGAACGGGUGAGUAACACGUGAGUAACCUGCCCUUGACUUUGGGAUAACUUCAGGAAACUGGGGCUAAUACCGGAUAGGAGCUCCUGCUCCAGGGUGGGGGUUGGAAAGUCUCGGCGGUUGGGGAUGGACGCGCGGCUUAUCAGCUUGUUGGUGGGGUAGUGGCUUACCAAGGCUUUGACGGGUAGGCGGCAUGGGAGGGGGACCGGCCACAUGGGGACUGAGAGACGGAGCAGUCUCCUACGGGAGGCAGCAGUGGGGAAUAUGGCACAAUGGGCCGGAGUGUGAUGAGGAAGCGCCGCGUGCGGAAUGACGGCCUUCGGGGUGUAAACCGCUUUCGCCUGUGACGAAGCGUGAGUGACGGUAAUGGGUAAAGAAGCACCGGCUAACUACGUG